UGAGGCAAAAAGACUAGAUAACCAAUAGGAAAACCUCAAAGCCGGCGCUAUUCUCACUGGCGCCGGCUUUUAA
Molecule: non-coding RNA, 73 nt
Organism: Fusarium venenatum
Lineage: Eukaryota; Fungi; Ascomycota; Sordariomycetes; Hypocreales; Nectriaceae
Source: RefSeq, a predicted model, not a curated record